GAUGAACGCUGGCGGCGUGCUUAACACAUGCAAGUCGAACGAAGCAUUUAAGACAGAUUACUUCGGUUUGAGGUCUUUUAUGACUGAGUGGCGGACGGGUGAGUAACGCGUGGGUAACCUGCCUCAUACAGGGGGAUAGCAGCUGGAAACGGCUGGUAAUACCGCAUAAGCGCACAGUACCACAUGGUACAGUGUGAAAAACUCCGGUGGUAUGAGAUGGACCCGCGUCUGAUUAGCUUGUUGGCGGGGUAACGGCCCACCAAGGCGACGAUCAGUAGCCGACCUGAGAGGGUGACCGGCCACAUUGGGACUGAGACACGGCCCAGACUCCUACGGGAGGCAGCAGUGGGGAAUAUUGCACAAUGGAGGAAACUCUGAUGCAGCGACGCCGCGUGAGUGAAGAAGUAGUUCGCUAUGUAAAGCUCUAUCAGCAGGGAAGAUAGUGACGGUACCUGACUAAGAAGCACCGGCUAAAUACGUG
RNAcentral lists this ribosomal RNA (481 nucleotides) under uncultured bacterium. Its description in RNAcentral is "partial 16S ribosomal RNA". It matches the Rfam family "Bacterial small subunit ribosomal RNA", at positions 28 to 507 of the family's 1533-position model. The record is from RNAcentral.